GUGCUCAUUUUGACCGUACAUAUACUAAAAUUGGAAUGAUAUGAGAAAAUUAGCAUGGCCCAUACACAAGAAUGACACAAAAAAUUCAUAAAACAUUCCAUAUUAAA
Sorex araneus (European shrew) is the source of this 107-nucleotide small nuclear RNA. Lineage: Eukaryota; Metazoa; Chordata; Mammalia; Eulipotyphla; Soricidae. The record is from Ensembl.